GAAACGCGAUAGUUAAUGUGAAUUGCAGAAUUCAGUGAAUCAUCGAGUCUUUGAACGCACAUUGCGCCCAUAGGUAUUCCUUUGGGCAUGUCUGUUUGAGCGUCAUUACAACCCUCAGCUAACCGCUGGUUUUGAACCUGAACGGGUGACACCGCGCCGGUUUUAAAGUUGUAAGCUCUGCUGGCCGCUCUGCCCAACCAGAUCAUAGUAAGCACUACUUGUCCGGGUGAAGCUGAACGGUACGGCCUGAACAAAACCUACCCACUCUCAAGGUUUGACCUCAGAUCAGACAAGGAUACCCGCUGAACUUAAGC
RNAcentral lists this unclassified non-coding RNA (314 nucleotides) under plant metagenome. Its description in RNAcentral is "partial contains 5.8S ribosomal RNA, internal transcribed spacer 2, and large subunit ribosomal RNA". The stretch from base 1 to 105 matches the Rfam family "5.8S ribosomal RNA", at positions 50 to 154 of the family's 154-position model. The record is from RNAcentral.